UAUCAGAGCCUACUGCCUGUAGGUAGCCCCCUUUCCAACUCCUUGGCCGAAGUUGAGUCUAGUGUUUGAAAAACCUUACUAACACUAAUGCUGUGGCUUACGGGCCCACAUCUCAAUUGGGUGGUAUUAGUAUCUUUUACUCCUUUCCUAUACUCUGGGUUCUACUCUCUCUUCUCUUUCGGGUUAAAGAAUUUACUAACUCUAACAUUAGGUUCUCGUAAGUACUUCCUCCUUGAGAGCCCCGUAUUCCUGAUGAUGGCUUGAUCCGUCACAAGACUCCGAGGAUACCCCCUGAUGUUCUCUCGAGAACUUGUGCUCAUCGCUUAUGCGAUUUCCCUUCCUCCAUCAACCCCUAUGGAUGACGACAUCCAUACUUUCUUUUCCAAUUGCUCUUGUUUUACGAGAUGCAACGAAUUAUCUUAUCGGGGAUUCGUCCGUCAUUAGUUUUCAUGGGUUUUCGGAAGUCCUUUGAAUUACUCUUCGAUCUUUCGGAAUCCCCAGGAGCCUAUUGCUCUUGACCUUCUCACCUGCUUGUGUUAUGGUUAAAUCCGUAUGUCUAGUAGCAUUCACUAAAAUCCUUUGUGAUUUUCCUGUGAUCUC
RNAcentral lists this long non-coding RNA (600 nucleotides) under Hordeum vulgare. RNAcentral describes it as "long non-coding RNA (HVUL_LNC011118)". Lineage: Eukaryota; Viridiplantae; Streptophyta; Magnoliopsida; Poales; Poaceae. The record is from RNAcentral.